GUCCGCGCCAGCCAGCGUCUGAGUCCAGGACGCAGCGCCAGCGAGGCUUCACGCACUUCGCCGGAUCCCGCCCGCCGCUGGCGCCCCUUCCUCCCUCUCUCCCUCCUCCAGGAGGCGCUGGUAGCAAGGAAGCAAGAGGUGACAGCUUGAACCGGGGACUUGUAAAGGACCCACAGCAGAGAGCGGUUUUCACCCUGAGAUUGAGUGUAUAUCAGAUCCCUCUUCAUUCCUCCAUCUGGCCUUCCUCUGCUGACCUUGUAGAAGACCAUGGACUUCUGCUUGGAUAAAAAGACUACUACUAAUAUUUAUCAUUAUUGAACACUAGUUCUGGACCAGGCACAUUCAUCCAUUUUUAUAUACCUUUCUCUGUUCAUUCCAUAUAACAUUUCUCUUUUCUUUAUUUACACUCAUAUUUAGCUUUAUGUAACUUAACACUUGAUUAUAAAUUGCAGAUAUAGUUUAUAAUCAAAGAGGGGCAUGGUAAGGAUAGUUUGACUAAAGGGAAGAUUAGAAAAAUGUAACUAAAGGGAAAUGAUACUGCAUAUGCUGUAUUUAGGAUUUGAUAUCAUGUCCUCAAAAUUUAGUAUUCAGGUAGUUUACAAUAGAAAAACAAUUACCUUGCUCAUCCCCAAUAAUUAAUCAUGUGGUUACAAAAUAUGUUUCUCCAAAAAUGAUGAAGUAAUACAUGAAGUAAUGUAUAACUGCUUUUGAAUUUCAAUUUAAUUGAGUA
Molecule: non-coding RNA, 730 nt
Organism: Manis javanica (Malayan pangolin)
Lineage: Eukaryota; Metazoa; Chordata; Mammalia; Pholidota; Manidae
Source: RefSeq, a predicted model, not a curated record